Biomphalaria pfeifferi is the source of this 302-nucleotide non-coding RNA. Lineage: Eukaryota; Metazoa; Mollusca; Gastropoda; Planorbidae. The record is from the annotation of a GenBank genome assembly.
AUUAGUUUAACUUCACACACUAAAAUACUUUAAUUGGCAGCUAAGAAACUCAAAAUACAUUUUAAUUUUCGUUUAAUUGUAGUACUUAAAAAAUAUACAGUCAUGAAGAGUAUUUCAACAAAUUUGUUAUGGUUUUUACAAAUUAGCAGUGGUUUUAAUUAUCGUGAUGUUUUCUUUUCAUCCUUGUAAAAUUCUAAAUAUUUCGGUAAAGAUAAAAGGUACCACUUUGUGAGGGACGAGAUGUACUUCCGUAAUGUAUAGGAGAAACUAACCCUAACCCUAACCCUAACCCUAACCCUAAC